Molecule: long non-coding RNA, 622 nt
Organism: Oncorhynchus tshawytscha (Chinook salmon)
Lineage: Eukaryota; Metazoa; Chordata; Actinopteri; Salmoniformes; Salmonidae
Source: Ensembl
GCUGAAGAUAAAUAUAAGGGCCUUUAAUUAUUUACCUGUCAAAAUCAAGAAGAAAAGAGGAAAUGACAGUGUGCAUUUCUGUGACAAUAGACAAGAACAGCUCAAGGACAGAACUACAUACAUUUAAAUACACAGAAUAAAUGCAUUGAAAGCGUUUCUGUGAAGCUUUGUGAUCGACAAGGACAAGUUUGAUGUCGGACAACAAUAGAAUGUUCAUGAUUUAAUGGGCCAAAGAUGGUAAGGUGAAAGGCACCGUUUAUACUGAGGGGUUGGUGGGACUUCUAAAUACAUUACCACUAUCAUGACUAGGUCGGUUGGUGGGACUUCUAAAUACAUUACCACAAUCAUGUCUAGGUCGGUUGUCAGGACUUCUAAAUACAUUACCACAAUCAUGUCUAGGUCGGUUGUCAGGACUUCUAAAUACAUUACCACUAUCAUGACUAGGUCGGUUGUCAGGACUUCUAAAUACAUUACCACAAUCAUGUCUAGGUCGGUUGUCAGGACUUCUAAAUACAUUACCACAAUCAUGACUAGGUCGGUUGGCAGGACUUCUAAAUACAUUACCACAAUCAUGUCUAGGUCGGUUGUCAGGACUUCUAAAUGCAUUACCACAAUCAUGACU